GAGAGGUGUUUAGAACAC
RNAcentral lists this transfer RNA (18 nucleotides) under Iguana iguana (Common green iguana). RNAcentral's name for it is "partial tRNA-Ser". The record is from RNAcentral. Lineage: Eukaryota; Metazoa; Chordata; Lepidosauria; Squamata; Iguanidae.